Molecule: unclassified non-coding RNA, 2113 nt
Filed under: Dermacentor andersoni
Lineage: Eukaryota; Metazoa; Arthropoda; Arachnida; Ixodida; Ixodidae
Description: uncharacterized LOC126529600
Source: RNAcentral
CGGGAGCGCGCGCAGCCAGAGCAGCGCGCUUGCGCCGUCUGCGGAGCUGUGUUACGGCAAGGGAGGGAUAACGGCGAUGCCGACGCGAAGCGCCGGAACGGCGAGUAAGAGCUGCGCUCUGAAACCUAAUUCCUCUGUAUUCAGAUAAUUAAUCAACUUCUCGGUGAAAGUACGGAGGAACCAGACCACGCACCCCCACUACCAACUGCUACAUGUGAUGCAAUGUCACCGGAAUGCAGCAGUUCAAAUGCUGGAGCAGAAAAUGCCACACAGAAAGACAACCCUGUCGGCAGGUCCCUAGAGUCAGCUCACAGUGACGGAUUUGGAGACCAGACCCACGAUGGAAUUCUAGGAGCGCAUCAAGAGGAGCCAGAAUCAGAAACCACUGAGCAUGCUGGUUUAGAUCUUACCGAAAUGGCUGGAAACACUGAGGCACCAGACCUGAAAAAUCAGUCAGAUGCUGCAGUUCAAACGACGAUCAUCUGCCGAAGUCGGGGAAUGCAGACCCAAGUCAACAUGCAGUCUCGCGCUGUCCAGACGUACUGCUUUGAGAUGCCACGAGCAUCGUCACCAGUGUGCCUUGAAACCAUAUCGGACUCUUCUGACACAGGAUCUGGAAAUGACACGCAGGGCAGGAACAUCGAUUCUUCUGAUGCAUUAACUGACACUAGUCUCAGGUAUGUGAAAAUGUUUGCAGUACAGUACUAACAUGGCCUAUGUAAAUUUCAGAGAGGAUGUUGACCACGCGGCACCGUCCCUACAUGAAGAGCGAAAAUUUAUUGUAUUUGAAUCCUCACUGGACCAGCUUCUUUCAACAUGCCCAGUGUGCGGAGAAGUGUGAUCAGCUGUUGACAAAGGAAUAAAAGGCACACUGCUACGAGUUGAAAGGAUGUGCAAAAACCUGCAUGUUUCUACGUGGACAAACCAGCCGAUGAUUCAGAGGAAAGCAGCUGCAAAUGCGUUACUUCCAGCAGCAGCCCUGUACUCGGGUUGCAAUGCUUCGAGAUUUCUUAGAGCCCUGAAGAGUAUAGGAAUAGUGUGCCCUUCUUAUCUUUACCACCAUGCUGUACAGACCUCUCUUCUGAUUCCGACAAUAACUAAGGUCUGGACUAAGCAUCAAAACCUGCUUUUUGAAGAACUUGCUGGGAAGCCACUGCGUGUUGCUGGGGAUGGAAGAGCUGAUUCGCCGGGUCAAUCUGCCAAGUAUCGCACUCACUCACUGAUCGAAAUUGAUCGCAACAAGGUCUUGCAUGUGGAAACUGUGCAGUCUAACGAAACAAAGGGCAGCAGCAACAUGGAGCUCGAGGGCCUCAAAAGGUCUCUCACCAUUCUUGAAGCAAAUGGCAUGGUGAUUGACGUCAUGGUGACUGACCGACAUUCCCAAAUUAAGGCGUUUGCUGCUAAAGAGGGAACUUUUGAGCACAACUAUGACUGUUGGCACGUUGCUAAAUCGCUAAAGAAGAAGCUCACUGCCGCUGGGAAGCUAAAGAAGUAUAAUGACAUUCAGCCUUGGAUAAAAGGCAUUAUUAACCAUGUAUACUGGUGCGCAGUAUCAAGCGAAGGCAGACCGGAUUUAAUUUUGCCAAAGUGGUGUUCGCUGGCACGUCAUAUUGCUGAUGUGCAUUGCCACGAUGACCCCCCUGUAUGAAAAGUGCCAACAUGAUCAGCAGUCAAAAAAGAAAUGGCUCAUAGCAGGCUCUCCAGCACACGAAAAGAUAAAGAGCAUUAUCCUCAACAAGGCUCUCUUGAAGGACAUACCAAAGUUGUCUACAUCAGUACAGGCAUUUGCAGUUGAGGCAUACCACAGCACCAUAAUCCGGUUUGCUCCUAAAGCAACACAUUUCCACUACCAAAGCAUGGUUGCAAGGUAAAUACUGCCCUGUACGUAAAUGCUAGUGAAGCAAGUUGUGAUGCGUUUGCCGACUGCAUGUUUCUUUUUCAGGACUCGCCUUGCAGCGCUGCACUACAAUGAAAAUAGUGCACGUGAACACGCCACUACCAAGGGCCAGCACAGGUACCUGGUGAAGUAUCCAAAGUCCACGAAAGUGCCUGUUGCUGCACCUAUUAAGAAGGCUUGCACCUAUGGUAAUGGACGGUGCAUUACAAAUUACAA